AGAACGAACGCUGGCGGCAUGCCUAAUACAUGCAAGUCGAACGAACACUUCGGUGUUAGUGGCGCACGGGUGCGUAACGCGUGGGAAUCUGCCCUUGGGUUCGGAAUAACAGUUGGAAACGACUGCUAAUACCGGAUGAUAUCGAAAGAUCAAAGAUUUAUCGCCCAGGGAUGAGCCCGCGUAGGAUUAGCUAGUUGGUGAGGUAAAGGCUCACCAAGGCGACGAUCCUUAGCUGGUCUGAGAGGAUGAUCAGCCACACUGGGACUGAGACACGGCCCAGACCUCCGUACGGGAGGCCAGCAGGUAGGGAAUAGUUGACAAGUGGGCGCAAGCCUAGAUCCAGCAAUGACCGCGUGA
Molecule: ribosomal RNA, 357 nt
Filed under: uncultured soil bacterium
Lineage: Bacteria
Description: bacterial SSU rRNA
Rfam family: Bacterial small subunit ribosomal RNA
Source: RNAcentral